This 2628-nucleotide ribosomal RNA is filed under the name Triticum aestivum (bread wheat). RNAcentral's name for it is "partial small subunit ribosomal RNA". Lineage: Eukaryota; Viridiplantae; Streptophyta; Magnoliopsida; Poales; Poaceae. The record is from RNAcentral.
AAACAAAGUGAGAAAUACUACGGACUACUAUGGUUCAGGGAGGAAAACAAAGACGAGAACUCGACGAGUAGUAACACAAAACCAAGACUUGGACUAUAGGCCACGGACUACAGAUAUGUUGCUAGUCAAUAACUAGAGUCUCCGUAUGAGUUUAGGAGUACCUUAAAACGGUUAUCGUGGUUGCCAAAACAUACGGUUAAAUGACCGCACCUUACAACCGUGGGGCUGCUCUUGUUCCAAAUGCGAAACGCAGAGCCGUUGGAUCCCGAACUCCCGGGUAAAGGACUUCCAGAAGUUGUAACAUGUUCGAACUCGUACGACCUGGACAGUUCGUUGUUAAAAAGUCCUGACUAGGGACGGCUCUAGAGUACCGUCGACAGCAUAGACAGUAGAGAUCUAGAAAGCAAGUUAUUUAAAAGUCCACUUUAGGGUCUAUCAUAGCGUUUAGACUCCUUAGACUUACGGGAGUUGGAAGUCGUGUUGGUUGAUUCACCGGGUUAAGGAAGGAGCCAUACCUUCAAACUACGAAGUAUGAAACGACCUUUGGUCCUCGAAACACCAUGUGGUAACCUGUUCACAGGGUCCUCCUCCUCUACCUCUCACUCUACUUAUUCCGACGUGCCCUAGUUACUAGUCAGGUCGUAGCCUCGUCAACAGCCUAAGCAACGCCCCAAGCACCACCGGGAGAUGAAGGGCGUGACGAAGUAGAAGAGACUCUCCGAGGCACGGAUACAACAGUCGUAUCAUACUGGGCUAACAAGACCUUGAAACAAACAGUAGGCCUAUGGUUUGUCCGUGAAGGUUGUCGUUGAAGUCAAGGGAGGGGACGUCAUUGUCAAGUGGUUGUACAUAUGGACCAUGGGAUCGUUCAGGGUACAAAAAGGAAGCGAACAUCACGUUUACCACGUUCCGUAAGAGAGCUUCCUUUCUUUUCACGUGUCUUAGUGCCAAUAUUUAAACAUUACUAAAUAUAUGAGAAGAACAAGAACUCCAAACUUUCCUCUGUGUCUUAAUAUAAACACACAAGUGAGAGGACUUAGUAAAAAGAGCUCCCUUUACUUGAGGGUAGUGUCGUUGUAUUGUAUAGUUUAAACUAGUCGACAUAAUUCUUUUAUAUGUCCUCGUUUGAACUAUAAAAUAUCCACACCGUCUUAGUCUUAUUACUACGGGAAGUACAAAAGACGGGUCAUUCUCUCGUCUGUAGGGUCAGACGUGGCAACAGGAGGGAGUUGGAACUCCCGCAGAAGUUUCACGGGUCUAAAAGAGGUGUUCCUUAUAAAAACCUCAUUUUCAUUGACAUUUACGUGGGUCGCUCUGGCACUCUAGUCUCAAGAACGUUCUCCCGAGUUUUAAGAUAAGACAAUCCGCUACUACGUUUGAGGUAGGUGUGUAAGGAACCACUGUUAAGAUGGUUUUGACCUGUGAGCUGUUACGACCUUCUUUUCAGAUACGAGGCCACCUCCCUAAGAGACAAAAUUUUCCCGACGUGGGCAAGUACAUGUCUUCUACCACCGAAGAUUAAACCGAACUACUUGACCACCGCAACCUUAACUGUUCGACGUCGAAAACCGUGUCUCGUCGACAAACAAAUAGAGUGGUAAAUGCUACCGACUACUAUGGUUCAAGGAGGCAAACAAAGAGGAGAACUCGUCGAGUAACAACACAAAACCAAGACUUGUACUAUAGGUCACGGAGUUCAGGCAUGUUGUUAGUCACUAACUAGGGUUGCCACAUGAGUUUGGGAGAACCUUGAAACUUUUACGGUGGUCGCCAAAGUAUACGGCGAAAUGACCACACCUUACGACCGUCGGGCUGCUCUUGUCCCAAGAGAGAGACGCGGAGCCGUUGGAACCUGAACUUCCGAGUAAAGGAUUUCCAGAAGUUUUAACAAGUUCGUACUGCCCGGACCUGGACAGCUUAUUGUUAAAAAGUCCUGUCUAGGGAAGACUGUAAAAUGUCGUCCACGUCGUCGACUGUAAAGACCUAGAAAGCAUGUUAUCGAAAAGCCCUAGUUAGGGUCUCUCGUACAGUUUAUACUGUAUAGACUUAGAGGAGUUGGAACUCGUAUUGGUUGAGUCGCCAGUUUAAGGUGGCGUUAAGCUAAACGAAUGAGCCAAUUGAUGCAAGUUACAACGCCUCUUGAACAAUAGUCCCGGACAAGGAUGAAGUGAUGUCUUCAAAAGCCGAAGCUUGAAACGACCAUUGGUUCCUGAAACACUACGUGGAAAUCUACUCACGAGGCGAAGCGACCGGAAGUGGUAAUCUGGUCAUGUUUAGGCAGACGUCUCCGAGUCGCUGGUCAGCUUGUAGUCUCGUCGGCAACCUAAGUAGCACACCAAGCACCACCGGAAGAUGAAGGGCGUCACUAAACAGACGAGGCUCUCCGGAUGCACUAAGUCUAUACUAAGUGAACAAGACUUAGACGCAGACCGUCUCGAACACCUCCGGUUUACUCGUGAAGGUUGUCAUUAAAAUCAAACAAGGGACGUCAUUGCUAAUAGAAUUAAGUGGACUACAUAUGGACCGUUGAACGGUCACGGCCACGAAACCAAACGAACAUUUACCAUUUCGUAUAAAGUAAAGAAGGUCUUUCUCUUUCGUCGAGUGAGUUUUUCCUGAUGAAGGUUA